GGUCUCAGGUGAGUUGACACGUGUGCUGGGAUAGGUUUGCGCUGAAGAAUAAUUUUUGUGCUAGUUGAAUGCCUUCUUUGUUACAUCCUAAGCACGGGGCCCGGGCAUCCAUGUGGGCAGGGCAUAAAAACUUGAGUUAUUUAAUCUCCUGUAGGCACUGCCCCUAGAGGCGUUGCAGAUGUGGUGGUUGUGCCACAUUUGUGUCAUUAGGUGGCGGAGAGAAGAGAGGCUUGACUAUGUCCAGCGUUCUGGCCCGUGGACAUCUGGAUGAUUGAUAGUCUGACAUUUGACGGUGUGCUGACUGGGGGUGUGUGUUUACUGGCAGCCUGAAGCCUAUCGUGUAAAAGCACUUUAAUUCCCUCCUAGUUCUUGGCUGGUCCUGGAACACUAGGUUGCCAGUGUGUGACGGCAGCAGGGAGGAGGGACCCACUGGUGCAGUGAUGAGCAGGAAAGGUCCGUGGGCCCAGCUUGGUCCUGUGCGGCUGGUCAGUGGAAUAGACCUGCAGGUGUGGCUCUUGUCACUCUAGGACUGGCUUCAGGACAGAAGCCAGUUGCUCUGCUAAGGAGGCUUGACUGUGGUCCAGUCCAUGCAGCACCGGGAGGCGCGGCUAGUGGGUCAUCUCGGUUUUCUGUCUGCAGAUCGUGCUGACGAGCCCAGGGCGCCGUCCUCAGUUCUCCAGGAGAGAGCGCCUCACUCGGCACCGUGGCCACGCACAUCCAGUCUGCCGGCAAGGGCGGUGGGCAGCUGGGGGAAGUCAUGGCCUUGGCAAUGUCCUCUGAUGAAACAGAACCUGCGGGCUUACGGAAUAACGUGUGUGUGGAACGCUGGCGCGCUGAAAAGCAGUUCUGUGUGCUUCCCCCCUUGGCCUGGAUCAGCAGUGCUGAGGCAGCGGGCGUGACACAGAAGUGUGAGCAGAGACCGUCUGGAAUCCCGGACUCCAGGGAAACUAAAGGUGGCGGCCGGCCUAGUGAAGAGGACAGGGGGCGGGGGCGGCAGCCCAGCAGGC
Non-coding RNA from Kogia breviceps (pygmy sperm whale), 1007 nucleotides. Lineage: Eukaryota; Metazoa; Chordata; Mammalia; Artiodactyla; Physeteridae. The record is from RefSeq and is a predicted model, not a curated record.